Molecule: non-coding RNA, 71 nt
Organism: Emiliania huxleyi CCMP1516
Lineage: Eukaryota; Haptophyta; Isochrysidales; Noelaerhabdaceae
Source: Rfam
GUCACCGUGGUCUAGUGGCAUGAUGCUCGCCUGCCACGCGGGCGACCCGGAUUCGAUUUCCGGCGGUGACA